AACGAACGCUGGCGGCAUGCCUAACACAUGCAAGUCGAACGAGACCUUCGGGUCUAGUGGCGCACGGGUGCGUAACGCGUGGGAAUCUGCCCUUGGGUUCGGAAUAACAGCGAGAAAUUGCUGCUAAUACCGGAUGAUGACGUAAGUCCAAAGAUUUAUCGCCCAAGGAUGAGCCCGCGUAGGAUUAGCUAGUUGGUGAGGUAAAGGCUCACCAAGGCGACGAUCCUUAGCUGGUCUGAGAGGAUGAUCAGCCACACUGGGACUGAGACACGGCCCAGGCUCCUACGGGAGGCAGCAGUGGGGAAUAUUGGACAAUGGGCGAAAGCCUGAUCCAGCAAUGCCGCGUGAGUGAUGAAGGCCUUAGGGUUGUAAAGCUCUUUUACCCGGGAAGAUAAUGACUGUACCGGGAGAAUAAGCCCCGGCUAACUCCGUGCCAGCAGCCGCGGUAA
This 449-nucleotide ribosomal RNA is filed under the name uncultured bacterium. RNAcentral describes it as "bacterial SSU rRNA". It matches the Rfam family "Bacterial small subunit ribosomal RNA", at positions 29 to 523 of the family's 1533-position model. The record is from RNAcentral.